GAUGAUACCGUUGGACAGGAUAUUGAUGAUGAUAUCUUUGCCAGUAAUGGGACUUCAUGACAUUAACUUUCUUGUCCUUUCCAUAGAAGUCUCAGAGUGUAUUCAAUAUUAUCCAUAUAGAGAUUCAUACCAUACUUAGAAUAAUUCUUUGUUAAGUUUUAUAUUUUGAUUGGUCGGAUGAUCUGUUGGGCGUGAGUCAGAGUGAGCGGAAAUUAGAGUCUUUUCGUAGAUCUUAUAUUCUUCAGAUAGUUGC
This 253-nucleotide long non-coding RNA is filed under the name Lathyrus oleraceus (garden pea). RNAcentral describes it as "Pisum sativum (pea) long non-coding RNA (PSAT_LNC005956)". The record is from RNAcentral. Lineage: Eukaryota; Viridiplantae; Streptophyta; Magnoliopsida; Fabales; Fabaceae.